This 468-nucleotide ribosomal RNA is filed under the name uncultured bacterium. RNAcentral's name for it is "partial 16S ribosomal RNA". It matches the Rfam family "Bacterial small subunit ribosomal RNA", at positions 28 to 507 of the family's 1533-position model. The record is from RNAcentral.
GACGAACGCUGGCGGCGUGCUUAACACAUGCAAGUCGAACGGAAAGGCCAUGAUUUUGCGGGGUGCUCGAGUGCCGAACGGGUGUGAAAAACGUGAGUAUCAUCCCCUUGUAUUAGGGAUAUCUCCAGGAAACAGGGGAUAUAACCGGAUAGGAGAUCUUGAUGCAUGGUGGGGGUUGGAAAGUUUCGGCGGUUGGGGAUGGACUAGAGGCUUAUCAGCUUGUUGGUGGGGUAGGGGCUUACCAAGGUUUUGAAGGGUAGGCGGCCUGUGAGGGUGACCGGCGACAUGGGGACUGAGGGACGGCGCAGACUCGUACGGGAGGCAGCAGUGGGGAAUAUUGCACAAUGGGCGGAAGCCAGAUGCAGCAACGCCGCGUGCGGGAUGACGUCCUACGGGGUGUAAACCGCUUUCGCCUGUGACGAAGCGUGAGUGACGGUAAUGGGUAAAGAAGCACCGGCUAACUACGUG